UGCGGGGUAGAGCAGUGGCAGCUCGUCGGGCUCAUAACCCGGAGGUCGUGCGUUCGAAUCGCACCCCCGCUACAA
Molecule: transfer RNA, 75 nt
Filed under: Chloroflexi bacterium HGW-Chloroflexi-7
Lineage: Bacteria; Bacillati; Chloroflexota
Description: tRNA-Met
Rfam family: tRNA
About the family: Transfer RNA (tRNA) molecules are approximately 80 nucleotides in length. Their secondary structure includes four short double-helical elements and three loops (D, anti-codon, and T loops).
Source: RNAcentral